RNAcentral lists this ribosomal RNA (253 nucleotides) under uncultured bacterium. RNAcentral describes it as "partial 16S ribosomal RNA". It matches the Rfam family "Bacterial small subunit ribosomal RNA", at positions 524 to 776 of the family's 1533-position model. The record is from RNAcentral.
UACGUAGGGUGCAAGCGUUAAUCGGAAUUACUGGGCGUAAAGCGUGCGCAGGCGGUCUUGCAAGACAGAUGUGAAAUCCCCGGGCUCAACCUGGGAACUGCAUCUGUGACUGCAAGGCUGGAGUGCGGCAGAGGGGGAUGGAAUUCCGCGUGUAGCAGUGAAAUGCGUAGAUAUGCGGAGGAACACCGAUGGCGAAGGCAAUCCCCUGGGCCUGCACUGACGCUCAUGCACGAAAGCGUGGGGAUCAAACAGG